GUGGCUAGAACUUCCAGUACUAUGUUGAAUAACAGUGGAGAAGAGACAUCAGAGACCCAUGUGUACACAGAGAUAGAGGCUGUGUGAGGACACAAUGAGAAGGCAUCAUCUGUGACCUUAAAGAGAGCUCUUCCUAGAAACCAACACUGCUGGCGCCUUGAUCUUGAACUUUUCUCCCCAGAACUGUGAGAAAACCGUUUUUUUCCUUUUCUAUUAUGGUUUAUAACAGGAUACUGAAUAUAGUUCCAUGUGCUAUACUAUAGGACCUUGUUUUUUUUUUUUAUUCAUCCUACAUAUAAUAAUUUGCAGCUACUAAUGCCAAACUCCUAAUCCAUCCUUCCAUCCCCCGCCACCCCUGCCCCAUACCCCUUGGCAACCACAAAGUCUGUGAGUGUAUGAAAAACUAAUUUCUGUUGUUUAAGCCACCUGGUCGGUCUAUGAUAUCCUGUUAAAGCAUCCUGAGAUGACUAAUACAGUUGUCUCUUUCUCUGUAUGUGUGUGUGUGUGUAAGAGAGAGAGGGUGUGUAGGAAUGAGUGCGUGGGACCCUGAGUGGGCAACUCUAUAGAACUAUGAUUUGACUGACAGAAAGAUUCCAAUAGAUAUGGUUAAAAUGUGUAAAGUUUCUAUAAAGACAUAGGAUAUAGAAACUGGCAGAAAGAGGUUUUUUAAUUUUAUUUUAUUUUUAUUACAGUAUAGUUGAUUUACAGUGUUGUGUCAGUUAGAAUGUAUAUGUAUAUGUAUGACUUGGUCACUGUGCUAUACAGCAGAAGUUCACAGAAAGUUUUAUUUUUUUAAUUAAAAAAUUAUUUUAUUUAUUUAUUUUUGGUUUUUUUAGGGUCACACUCAUGGCAUAUGGAAGGUCCCAUCGUAGGGAUUGGAUCAGAGCUGUAGAUGCUAGCCUACACCACAAUCACAUUAAUGCGGGAUCUGAGCCACGUCUGCAACCUACACUGCAGGUCAUGGCCCACCGGAUCCUUAACCCACUGAGUGAGGCUAGGGGCUGAACUCUUGUCCUCAUGAAUGCUAGUCAGAUUCAUUUCUUUUCUCUCUCUUUUUUUUUUUUUUUUUAGUAUGCUUGUGAGAAUCCUCAAAAGUUGUUUUAUGUUAUAAUUGUUCAUUGUUAUUACUAUAUAAUACUCCAUGCAUGAAUACUCCACUCUUUUUUUUUAAAUUUUAUUUUCCCACUGUACAGCAAGGGGAUCAAGUUAUCCUUACAUGUAUACAUUACAUUUUUCCCCCCACUCUUUGUUCUGUUGCAACAUGAGUAUCUAGACAUAGUUCUCAAUGCUACUCAGCAGGAUCUCCUUGUAAAUCUAUUCUAAGUUGUGUCUGAUAACCCCAAGCUCCCGAUCCUUCCCACUCCCUCCCUCUCCCAUCAGGCAGCCACAAGUCUGUUUUCCAAGUCCAUGAUUUUUUUUUGUGGACAUCUCCAAAGAUUCAUUUCUACUGAGCCAUGACAGGAAUUCCCAGAAAGGGUUUUAUAAGGAAGAACACAAUACAGUGUACAUACAGGAUUAUCAGGGCUGUGAACUGUUUUCUGCACCCUAACAGCUGCUGCUCCAUGGUUUGUAGGGAGUGUGGAUUCCACUAGGCAUGAGAGCCCUGUUGCUGACCUUCUGAGAGCCUACCGAUUCUCACUGAUAACUGUCCUGGAGAUACUGAAUAGCUGCCUAUCUGAGCAUUGGGUGCAGCUAGUCUCAAACAGCCUAGUAUAUUCCUGCAAUUUUUUUAUUAGUGUUGGUGAAGAAAAGAUCAAUUAAAAAAAUCACUAAAUCCAUAGAGACUCAUGAGACAAGUUGAAAUUAUCAUGGAGUCAUCACAGUUCAGGCAUAUAAAAAUGCAUUCAGGUGGCCAUUGAGGAUCUGGUAUCAGACAUGUCCCUGUACCACUGGGAACUUGGACUUUCUUUGAACUGUACCAGACCCAAGGGCACCAUUCGUGGUAUUUGGAAUAACAUCUGCCAGCUGCAACCUUGUGAUCCCAAGGUCUGUCCUUGUAUCUGUGCAACCAUUUCAGACCCCAACCAACCCUUACUUAACAAAUACCCUCACUUAUUAUCAGCUCCAUUUAUAAUUUUUGACAAAAAACAUUUGUAACUAACUGUGGCCUUGCACCCUUUGCUUUAUAAGCUUACUCUAUUUGUAGUCUGGCAGAAUACAGUUCAAGUCCUUCUUGAAUCUAUAUCUCUUGGGCUGCAGUUCUAACAAAUUUCUAAUAAAUCCCUCUUUAUUUCAAUCAAGUCUCCUUUUCUGAAAUAUUGGUGACAGGAGACAAGCACAAAUAUAUAAAAAUAAAAAUGUAGUUUCAUAAAUUUGAAAGCCUAAAUAACACAAAUAAUAUAAAGUAUCUCAUUGACUUAAGAAGUGGAAACUCUCGGGAGGUUCAUUAUUUAAGAGAAAAAUGAAAAUAUUCUAAAGUUUACUUCCCUGUUUCCACAAUACCUGAAAUACGUAGAUUUAUUGGUGAUUUUUGUUUAAUCUUGGGAAAAAACAUCCCUUAUUCUAUUAACUUUUCCAGAAAAUAUGAUUCUGAGAAUGCCAAAAAAUUCCAGUAUAAGGAAAUCUAAUUAAGGGGAAUACCUCAAUAGUUUAAAUAAAGAAAAAUUAUAAUAUCAUCCUAACAAAUACUUAUUGAGUGAUGGUGUUGGCCACAGAACUUUGCUAAAAGUGAAUAAAAAAAAUUAAGAAGCAUCUAGCCCUCCCAGAAGUGAAGACAAGGACAUACAAACACAAAUAAUAACAUUACACUUCAAAACAAUUAAUGAUUAAACACCAGCGUGAUUCACAUAAAGUAUACAUUUAAUAAGAACUCAGAAACAGGGAGACUGACAUAGAUCUAAAGGUGAUUCAGUCGCCUUAUUGUGCAGUAGAACAUUGACAGAACACUGUAAACCAGCUUUAAGGGAAAAAAAUCAUUAUAAAAUAAACAAAUAAACAAACAAAUAAAUAAAUAAAGGAUUUAGGCUGGACCAUUUGACUUUUUUCCGUAAGAGGCCAAUCCAUCUUGCCUACCAAAAUAACCCACAUGUGGAAAAAGAUGCAGCACUUUAUGUCUGUAAAGCAUUGUUGUGAAUACAGAUCUGAAGCCUUGUAGCAUAGUUUAGAUAAUGCAAAAAAAAAAAAAAAA
RNAcentral lists this long non-coding RNA (3127 nucleotides) under Sus scrofa (pig). RNAcentral's name for it is "lncRNA (ENSSSCG00005007989.1)". Lineage: Eukaryota; Metazoa; Chordata; Mammalia; Artiodactyla; Suidae. The record is from RNAcentral.